GGUCAAUCCUAAGUGCCUGGUCAGAUCCGUGGGGCUCCGUCCUCUCCGCUGGGCCCAGCCUCCCCCAGGUGCCCCUCCUCAGGCAGCAGCCAAUCGCCUGCUCCCGCCUUGACCCCCUCCCCUCUCUCCUCGGCUUACUCUCAGGAUUCCAAAAGUAAGCGUCUGCCAGGCGGCGCUUCUUUGAGGAGGAGGGAGAGGAGGGCGGACCCUCCACCGCGGGGCGCCGUGCGCCGUGAGGAUGGAGCAUCGCUGCCGCCGGGAGAGAGCGAGCGUGCGCGACUUUCGGGGUCUGCCCACCUCCGCCCCAACCCACGAACUCCGCAGACAGCUCAGGAGAUUGCUGUGAGAACAAGAAAAAACCGUCCUGGAGACCAAGGGUGCCCCUACCAGAUGGAUUCGGGCAUCUUCCCCUUCGCUUCUUCGCGAGGGAGGCCGCUUCACGCGCAGAAUAUCUACCCUCCAGUUCAUCAAGGGUGACGCUGUGUGAAAGAAAGAGGCCUCUGCUGUGUGCGUUUGAUAACAGUGCACUCAAGUCUGCUCAGAAGGUGAAACAGCCCUGGGCCACUUCAUUUUGAAGCUCUGAAUAUAUUUUUUAAAUGAAGACAUGCCAAAAUAGUUACCAAAAUUUUAAUUGUGGUUUACGAUCCUUUAAUAAUUCAAUGCUCUUGACACGCACACGCUAACAUAAUGACUGCACGGGUAAGCUCAUCAGGAGAUGAUGCCCAAAAGGCCAUAUGUGAGGCCCCUGAUGAACAUGAGGCCAGAACCAAAUGGCCCUUUUGCUCCACUCCCAGCCCAGAGAUUGGCUCUGUGCCUUCACAUGCUCGGAACGGGAGAGGAAGUGGCCUGAAGCGAGCUGGGAAUUAAGCCUGGAGCAGAGGUAGUGAGGUCUGAGGAAAAGCCUGCUUGAAACCAGGUUCAUACUGGGCCCCAGUUUGGAUACCUCACCUUCGUCAUGCCUCGUUGCCCACCUGUUAGCUGAAGAAUGUUAAAAGAGGCUCGAAGGAGAACAAAGAUAAAAAUGGAGUUCCAAAGAAGAAAGAUGCCACUGGCGGGAAGCAGGAAUGCAUUACUAAAUGCACCCUAAAGAUGCUUCCGUCCCUCCCAUCCUUCCCUCCUUCCUGAGUCGGAAUCAGGAUGCUUUAACAGGCAGUUGGCAAAGAACACCAUUCAUCCCAAACAAGCAGUGUAGUCUUUCCUGUGUUUGGUCUUUAUUAAAAUCUUGGAAUUCCAUGCCUCCUCUGAAUUUCCAUGUGGCUUCUCUUUAUGCAUAAACAUCAAAAAGGAUGCAGCUUGUUACAUAAACUUGGUAGACUGCAAAAGCCUGCCAUGUGUUUAUGCAUUACAAAGAGCCCUGCACAGUUAAAACCAAACUAAUUAGGAGGCGCAAGUCAAAAGAAGUUCUGAAAUGUUAUUAAUAAUUAUAUGUGACAAAAUCAGUUUAUUUUUAGAUUUCUGAGAAAUGCAUUUCUGGUUUGUCAUUGCUCUCCACACCUGUGAUCGUCUCUCUCAGUCUGUCUGCUUGCCCUCUCCUGCUCACCCUCCACAGUGAGUCGCAGGCGGAGGAACCCAUCAGGGCUGCUAUUCUUCAGCUCUCUAACCUUCAGCUGUGUGACUGGCUUCUUGGGCAACACGAUUGCCUGUCAUUUAACGUGCGUGGAUGGAUGAGCUCAUUAACAAGCCGCCCCAGGGGCCCUCUCCAUUGGCUGCUCUCCCAGACCCUAGUUCUUUUUCUCCACCCAACAGCAACGGUGGGCCUUCCCUGUCUGGUGAAGCACAUGCUCACACCCAUCUCAUUGUGCGCCCUUCCCCCUCCUGGAGGAGAACUUAGGGCGGUCAGGAGCAAUCAUUCUAAGCAUCCUGCUGAACCUGCGCUUUUCACGAAGGCCACUCUUUCUCCAGGACGCCACCAGCUCUCCAGAGCCCUCCCCUGGGUUCCCAGGGAGGAACGCUUCAGACAGGAACCGCUAGUGAAGAAAACCUGAGACAACACUGUCGAGAGCAAGUUUUUCUGAAUCCUUCUAAUCCCCGUGGGUCUUUCAGAGGUCAAGAGCGUCCCAGGCCACUGCCAUGUGCUGAGGCUUCCAGAAUACUUUUUUUUUAAAUCUUCAACCUAACCCCUUAUCCAAUCUGAUUCUUUAACUGUUUUUUGGUUGUUUUCUUUUUUUGCAGGGAAAGAUUCACCCUGAGCUAACAUCUGUUGCCAGACUUCCUUUCUUUUUUUUCCUCCCCACAGCCCCAGUCCAUAGUUGUAUAUUCUAGCUGUGUGUCCUCUUAGUGCUUCUCUGUGAGCCGCUGCCACAGCAUGGCUGCUGACAGACGAGUGGUGUGGGCCUGUGCCCAGGGAACUGAACCUGGCCGCCAAAGCAGAGCACGCUGAAUUUUAACCACUAGGCCAUCAGGGAUGGCUCUAGACUACUUUUUUAAAAAAAAUUUAUAAAUGGCAAAAA
This 2450-nucleotide long non-coding RNA is filed under the name Equus caballus (horse). RNAcentral's name for it is "lncRNA (ENSECAG00000059748.1)". The record is from RNAcentral. Lineage: Eukaryota; Metazoa; Chordata; Mammalia; Perissodactyla; Equidae.